GGAGAGUGGAAUUCCACGUGUAGCGGUGAAAUGCGUAGAGAUGUGGAGGAACACCAGUGGCGAAGGCGACUCCCUGGUCUAUAACUGACGCUGAGGAGCGAAAGCGUGGGGAGCGAACAGGAUUAGAUACCCUGGUAGUCCACGCCGUAAACGAUGAGUGCUAAGUGUUAGGGGGUUUGCGGCCCUUAUUGCGGCAGUUACCGCAUUAAUCACUCCCCCGGGGGAUUACGGUCCCAAGAUAGAAAUUCAAAGGAAUUGACGGGGGCCCCCCCAAGCGGUGGACCAUGUGGUUUAAUUGGAAGCAACGGGAAGACCCUUCCCAGUUCUUGACAUCCUAGGACAACCCUAGAGAUAGGGGUUUCCCUUCGGGGACAGAGUGCCAGGUGGUGCAUGGUUGUGGUCAGUUCGUGUCGUGAGAUGUUGGGUUAAGUCCCGCAACGAGCCCAACCCUUGAUUUUAGUUCCCAGCAUUUAGUUGGGCACUCUAAGGUGACUGCCGGUGACAAACCGGAGGAAGGUGGGGAUGACGUCAAAUCAUCAUGCCCCUUAUGACUUGGGCUACACACGUGCUACAAUGGACAG
This 581-nucleotide ribosomal RNA is filed under the name Bacillus altitudinis. Its description in RNAcentral is "bacterial SSU rRNA". It matches the Rfam family "Bacterial small subunit ribosomal RNA", at positions 656 to 1237 of the family's 1533-position model. Lineage: Bacteria; Bacillati; Bacillota; Bacilli; Caryophanales; Bacillaceae. The record is from RNAcentral.